AGCUGGUGCUUAUUUUUGUUUGUCUGUUUGUUUUCUUUCCCCCUCCUCCAGCUGCAGUGGCUUCCUACUAGGAUCCUAAGGUGAAAGGGAGAUGGAUGUAGAUGCAUUUUGGAAGUGGCUGCUGUUCCCCUCUUCUAGCCUGCAUCAGAUGGAAGACUGUUCUUGGGAAAUGGAUGCCAGUGGCCAGGACUGAGUCACGUUCUGAUGUCCUACUGCAAUGGAAGCAAGCAAGAAAGAAAUCACUCAAAAGAGAUUUCCAAAAAAGGAUGGAAAUGAAAACCAUUGAAAUCAUCUAAGGUACAUCAUCUGUUGCUGAAAUUUGUACUUUAGAUCCUAGUAAGGACUAAAGGUUAUCAUCUGCCUAUUGUCUGGCCUUCCCUGUGGGAUAUAGGUUUAAGGAAGGAGAUAUCUCUGCCUCAAGAAUGGCUACAUUGAGAAUCAGUCACAAGAAAUAUCAACCAACAUAAACCUCUUUGAAAUGAGCUCUAGUCAAGAGAAUGGAACUCACUACAAGGUCAGAAGGUUGCUUCAACUGCCUUCCACUCAAUGACCCUGCAUACUUUUCCAGGGAAUGUUAACCUUUGCACCCUGAAAAGUACCACUGUUUAAAAUUACUUUUCCUCUAACUUUAGGAGGUAAUUUUGGCUGACCUCAGGCUUUAAAACUUUUUUUCUAAUAUACUGUCCAUCUUUGAAACAUUUUCCUUAAAAUUUUACCUAUUACAUUUAACUUUUUAAAAUAUUACUGAGCUGAAUUUAUUCAUGUUUUAUCUUGCUGUUUUAUCAUGUUCUUAAAUAACAUUUUCUUUAAUUUGUUUUUAAAAUCUUCCAGAUGGUGAUAUUUUUCAUCUCUUAUUUAUUCUUAGCUUGUAUUCCAAAUCUUUCCCUUCAUCUCAUUUUCUGAUCAUUUUGUCUUCUGGAUUAAAUUAGCCAAGUGACAUACUUUUUGUGUAAUUUCACCAAGUUCAUUUUCCUGUGGUUUUUAAAACAAAUUUACACAUUUUCAUGUUAUUAAGUUUACUAUACCUAUUUAUCUUUAGCCCUCAUUCACCAGCUUAGAUCAACUAGUAGUAUAUUUUAUUUCCUAAUCACUCUUUCUUAGUUUUAAAUAUUUUAUUUAUUCCCUAAGUAUACUGCACCUUACUUUCUUCAGUCACCAUGUUACUAAAAGUGGGAAAAAUUCAAAAUAAAGAUGUAUGCUCUGUUUUACA
Molecule: long non-coding RNA, 1210 nt
Filed under: Felis catus (domestic cat)
Lineage: Eukaryota; Metazoa; Chordata; Mammalia; Carnivora; Felidae
Description: lncRNA (ENSFCAG00000042386.2)
Source: RNAcentral